Molecule: ribosomal RNA, 391 nt
Filed under: uncultured soil crust cyanobacterium
Lineage: Bacteria; Bacillati; Cyanobacteriota
Description: bacterial SSU rRNA
Rfam family: Bacterial small subunit ribosomal RNA
Source: RNAcentral
CGAAAGCCUGACGGAGCAAGACCGCGUGGGGGAAGAAGGCUCUUGGGUUGUAAACCCCUUUUCUCUGGGAAGAAAGUUGUGGAAGCAACCUGACGGUACCAGAGGAAUCAGCAUCGGCUAACUCCGUGCCAGCAGCCGCGGUAAGACGGAGGAUGCAAGCGUUAUCCGGAAUGAUUGGGCGUAAAGCGUCCGCAGGUGGCAGUUCAAGUCUGNUGUCAAAGACCGGGGCUUAACUUCGGAAAGGCAGUGGAAACUGAACAGCUAGAGUAUGGUAGGGGCAGAGGGAAUUCCUGGUGUAGCGGUGAAAUGCGUAGAGAUCAGGAAGAACAUCGGUGGCGAAGGCGCUCUGCUGGACCAUAACUGACACUCAGGGACGAAAGCUAGGGGAGCG